Molecule: ribosomal RNA, 497 nt
Filed under: uncultured bacterium
Lineage: Bacteria
Description: partial 16S ribosomal RNA
Rfam family: Bacterial small subunit ribosomal RNA
Source: RNAcentral
GAUGAACGCUGGCGGCGUGCCUAAUACAUGCAAGUCGAGCGAACAGACGAGGAGCUUGCUCCUCUGACGUUAGCGGCGGACGGGUGAGUAACACGUGGAUAACCUACCUAUAAGACUGGGAUAACUUCGGGAAACCGGAGCUAAUACCGGAUAAUAUAUUGAACCGCAUGGUUCAAUAGUGAAAGACGGUUUUGCUGUCACUUAUAGAUGGAUCCGCGCCGCAUUAGCUAGUUGGUAAGGUAACGGCUUACCAAGGCAACGAUGCGUAGCCGACCUGAGAGGGUGAUCGGCCACCCUGGAACGGAGACACGGUCCAGACUCCUACGGGAGGCAGCAGUAGGGAAUCUUCCGCAAUGGGCGAAAGCCUGACGCAGCAACGCCGCGUGAGUGAUGAAGGUCUUCGGAUCGUAAAACUCUGUUAUUAGGGAAGAACAAAUGUGUAAGUAACUAUGCACGUCUUGACGGUACCUAAUCAGAAAGCCACGGCUAACUACGUG